AGUUUGCUUUUUUUUCAGGAUGAACGCUGGCGGCGUGCUUAACACAUGCAAGUCGAACGAAGCACCUGAGAAUGAUUCUUCGGAUGAAGUCUCUUGUGACUGAGUGGCGGACGGGUGAGUAACGCGUGGGUAACCUGCCUCACACAGGGGGAUAACAGUUGGAAACGACCGCUAAUACCGCAUAACCCGCUGGUGCCGCAUGGCACUGACGGAAAAGAUUUUAUCGGUGUGAGAUGGACCCGCGUCUGAUUAGCCAGUUGGCAGGGUAACGGCCUACCAAAGCGACGAUCAGUAGCCGGCCUGAGAGGGUGAACGGCCACAUUGGGACUGAGACACGGCCCAGACUCCUGCGGGAGGCAGCAGUGGGGAAUAUUGCACAAUGGGGGAAACCCUGAUGCAGCGACGCCGCGUGAGUGAAGAAGUAUUUCGGUAUGUAAAGCUCUAUCAGCAGGGAAGAAAAUGACGGUACCUGAUUAAGAAGCCCCGGCUAACUACGUGCCAGCAGCCGCGGUAAUACGUAGGGGGCAAGCGUUAUCCGGAUUUACUGGGUGUAAAGGGAGCGUAGACGGUGAUGCAAGUCAGAAGUGAAAGCCCGGGGCUCAACUCCGGGACUGCUUUUGAAACUGUGUGACUGGAGUGCAGGAGAGGUAAGCGGAAUUCCUGGUGUAGCGGUGAAAUGCGUAGAUAUCAGGAGGAACACCAGUGGCGAAGGCGGCUUACUGGACUGUAACUGACGUUGAGGCUCGAAAGCGUGGGGAGCAAACAGGAUUAGAUACCCUGGUAGUCCACGCCGUAAACGAUG
RNAcentral lists this ribosomal RNA (802 nucleotides) under uncultured bacterium. Its description in RNAcentral is "bacterial SSU rRNA". It matches the Rfam family "Bacterial small subunit ribosomal RNA", at positions 10 to 811 of the family's 1533-position model. The record is from RNAcentral.